Molecule: long non-coding RNA, 1466 nt
Filed under: Neogale vison (American mink)
Lineage: Eukaryota; Metazoa; Chordata; Mammalia; Carnivora; Mustelidae
Description: Neovison vison (American mink) lncRNA (ENSNVIG00000015527.1)
Rfam family: Small nucleolar RNA SNORD107 (bases 386-458)
Source: RNAcentral
UACUCAUCUUUACAUUCCAGUUCCCUGUGACUGGCCAUUCAUAUAAUAAAGCUUAAUAAUUUGAAUUAUAGUAAAUAAGGAAAGCAAGAUACAUUUUUUAAAAAUUUAAUUUAAUUUUUUAUUUCUUCGGGGUCAUAUUCUAAUCAUUUUUUUUUGUAUUACAGUUUUUUUGGUCUUAAUAAGGUCUUUUUGCCCACAUAGUUGAUGACUCUGAAACGAGGAGAGAAUUUAACCACUCAGUUUUCUGACAUGUCACUGGAUCCUACCCAGUAGUAUCAGAAGGAAGCUGAAAAUGGUGUUAGCUGCACUUAGGACAAACAAAAAUCAUUCCAGGUAAAAUAACCUUGUAAAGAAAAGUUAUAGUGUAUUAUAGAGGCCUUGGCUAGGUUCAUGAUGACAAAGGACCUUGUCUGAACAUAAUGAUUUCAAAACUUGAGCUUAAAUGACACUCUGAAAUCUAGUCAAUGUGCCUCAGUAGACUUUUCAUAGAACAUUAUUUUCAACAGAUAAAUUUUGACUUAUUGUGGAACUUUGAAUACUUAGAAAUGUCAGGUGUAAAUUGGCAGUAUACAUUGCCAUCUCUUCAGACAUCUUUUUUUAAGUUUUCAUAAGAUAUUCUGAGCUCAUUAUUUUUCCCUUCUUUUUAAACAUGCAUGCUGUUGAAAGCAAAAAAGGAAACUCAUCCUUAGAUCCCAGAAGGUACACACACAUGCUGAGAUGGAAGCAAGGACAUGUAAAAGGGAGACGGCCACCUCUUCGAUAAAACAUAGAAUGCCAGAAUUAGUGAUGUCCAGGAAAGAGGGGAACUCAUAUUUGUGGAACAUGUAUUAUAAAAUGCAGUGAGUAUGGGGUGAGAGGAUCUCUCCUGCUUAAUUGAGAUGAUGAAGGACCAAUAAGAGAGCAGUUUUUGAAAUCCAGUUCCAAGGAUAUAUUUGUUUUAGAUGUGAAUGCUGAUUAAUGACUUCAGGUGUUAAAUGCAGCAAGUCCAUCUAUGCCAAAAAAGUACAUGAUGAAAAGAAGAGAUUUAUAGAUAACCUGAGGACAACUGACACCAGGAAUAUCCCUCAUGCUAUGGACUUCUUUAAUGUAAAAGUUUUAACUGGGAACAAUAGGUAAGAAGUUCUGGACCAAUAAGUAGUGUUUUAAUACAAGGCUUUGGCAAGAUUCAGGAAAAUAUCACUGGGGCAGACUUUGGAAUAUUGAAUGGUUCUGAGAAUUGGUGAGAAAAUCAAUUCUUUCCAAAGAUAAUUUUUGCUGAAAUAGAGAUGUGGAUUAGAUGUAGAAUGUAGGAGAUUAUUUGUGAAUUCAUUCAAUUAAUAACCUUAUUUAUAAUGAAAUAUCAUGACAUAAUAUUAUAAAGGUAAUGAGCAAUUGUUCAUUAGUUGGACAGAAUUUUUGCAGGUAAAUUUUAUAGUGUGUUAAAGGGAGAAGUUCAUGGAAACAAAAUAAAGGGGAAACCUCUUGCA